Molecule: ribosomal RNA, 496 nt
Filed under: uncultured bacterium
Lineage: Bacteria
Description: partial 16S ribosomal RNA
Rfam family: Bacterial small subunit ribosomal RNA
Source: RNAcentral
AUGAACGCUGGCGGCGUGCCUAAUACAUGCAAGUCGAGCGAACGGACGAGAAGCUUGCUUCUCUGAUGUUAGCGGCGGACGGGUGAGUAACACGUGGAUAACCUACCUAUAAGACAGGGAUAACUUCGGGAAACCGGAGCUAAUACCGGAUAAUAUUUUGAACCGCAUGGUUCAAAAGUGAAAGACGGUCUUGCUGUCACUUAUAGAUGGAUCCGCGCUGCAUUAGCUAGUUGGUAAGGUAACGGCUUACCAAGGCAACGAUGCAUAGCCGACCUGAGAGGGUGAUCGGCCACACUGGAACUGAGACACGGUCCAGACUCCUACGGGAGGCAGCAGUAGGGAAUCUUCCGCAAUGGGCGAAAGCCUGACGGAGCAACGCCGCGUGAGUGAUGAAGGUCUUCGGAUCGUAAAACUCUGUUAUUAGGGAAGAACAUAUGUGUAAGUAACUGUGCACAUCUUGACGGUACCUAAUCAGAAAGCCACGGCUAACUACGUG